Molecule: long non-coding RNA, 1382 nt
Filed under: Parus major (Great Tit)
Lineage: Eukaryota; Metazoa; Chordata; Aves; Passeriformes; Paridae
Description: lncRNA (ENSPMJG00000003183.1)
Source: RNAcentral
AGGCCACCCUGGAGCACCUGGGGCUGGCCCGGUGUCCCCAGGUGAGCGAGAGGGGCCUGGCCACGCUGCACCACCUCAGGUGAGACACCUGUGUCACCUGUGUGUCACCUCAGUGUCACCUGUGUGUCACCUGUGUCACCUGUGUCACCUGUGUGUCACCUGUGUCACCUCAGUGUCACCUCAGUGUCACCUGUGUGUCACCUGUGUGUCACCUGUGUCACCUGUGUCACCUGUGUGUCACCUGUGUCACCUCAGUGUCACCUGUGUCACCUCUGUGUCAUCUCAGUGUCACCUGUGUCACCUGUCACCUGUGUCACCUGUGUGUCACCUCAGUGUCACCUCAGUGUCACCCCGUGUCACCCGUGUGUCACCCCAGUGUCACCUGUGUCACCUGUGUCACCUGUGUGUCACCUGUGUGUCACCCGUGUGUCACCCGUGUGUCACCCUGUGUCCCCGGUUGUUCCCUACAGGCAGUCCCGGUGUCUCUCCGGUUGUUCCCCAUUGGUCACGGUCUCUCUCCGGUUGUUCCCCAUUGGUCACGGUGUCUCUCCGGUUGUUUCCCUGGCAGUCACGGUGUCUCUCCGGUUGUUUCCCGGCAGUCACGGUGUUUCCGGUUGUUCCCCAGUGGUCACGGUGUCUCUCCGGUUGUUCCCCGGCAGUCACGGUGUCUCUCCGGUUGUUCCCCAUUGGUCACGGUCUCUCUCCGGUUGUUCCCCUGUGGUCACGGUGUCUCUCUCCGGUUGUUCCCUACAGGCAGUCACGGUGUCUCUCCAGUUGUUCCCUGGCAGUCACAGUGUCUCCGGUUGUUCCCCAUUGGUCACGGUGUCUCUCCGGUUGUUCCCCGGCAGUCACGGUGUUUCUCUCCGGUUGUUCCCCAGUGGUCACGGUGUCUCCGGUUGUUUCCCCGGCAGUCACGGUGUCUCUCCGGUUGUUCCCCGGCAGUCACGGUGUUUCCGGUUGUUUCCCCGGCAGUCACAGUGUCUCUCCGGUUGUUUCCCUGGCAGUCACGGUGUCUCUCUCCGGUUGUUCCCCGGCAGUCACGGUGUUUCCGGUUGUUCCCCAUUGGUCCCGGUGUCUCUCCGGUUGUUUCCCCAUUGGUCACAGUGUCUCUCCGGUUGUUUCCCAUUGGUCACAGUGUCUCUCCGGUUGUUCCCUACAGGCUGUCCCGGUGUCUCCGGUUGUUCCCCAGUGGUCACGGUGUCUCUCUCCGGUUGUUCCCCCAUUGGUCACGCUGUUUCUCUCCGGUUGUUCCCUACAGGCAGCUGCGCUCUCUGGACCUGGCGGGGCUGUCCCGGUCUCUCUCCGGUUGUUCCCCGGUGUCCCCCGGUCUCUCUCCGGUUGUUCCCCAUUGGUCACGGUGUCUCUCCGGUUGUUCCCCAGUG